AUUGAACGCUGGCGGCAGGCUUAACACAUGCAAGUCGAGCGGGGUGAUGGUGCUUGCACUAUCACUUAGCGGCGGACGGGUAAGUAAUGCCUAGGAAUCUGCCUGGUAGUGGGGGACAACGUUUCGAAAGGAACGCUAAUACCGCAUACGUCCUACGGGAGAAAGCAGGGGACCUUCGGGCCUUGCGCUAUCAGAUUAGCCGAGGUCGGAUUAGCUAGUUGGGGGGGUAAUGGCCCACCAAGGCGACGAACCGUAACUGGUUUGAGAGGAUGAUCAGUCACACUGGAACUGAGACACGGUCCAGACUCCUACGGGAGGCAGCAGUGGGGAAUAUUGGAAAAUGGGCGAAAGCCUGAUCCAGCAAUGCCGCGUGUGUGAAGAAGGUCUUCGGAUUGUAAGGCACUUUAAGUUGGGAGGAAGGGCAGUAAGUUAAUACCUUGCUGUUUUGACGUUACCGACAGAAUAAGCACCGGCUAACUCUGUGCCAGCCGCCGCGGUAA
Molecule: ribosomal RNA, 500 nt
Filed under: uncultured bacterium
Lineage: Bacteria
Description: partial 16S ribosomal RNA
Rfam family: Bacterial small subunit ribosomal RNA
Source: RNAcentral